This 348-nucleotide unclassified non-coding RNA is filed under the name soil metagenome. RNAcentral's name for it is "partial contains 5.8S ribosomal RNA, internal transcribed spacer 2, and large subunit ribosomal RNA". The stretch from base 1 to 120 matches the Rfam family "5.8S ribosomal RNA", at positions 35 to 154 of the family's 154-position model. The record is from RNAcentral.
GAUGAAGAACGUAGCGAAAUGCGAUAAGUAAUGUGAAUUGCAGAAUUCAGUGAUUCAUCGAGUCUUUGAACGCACAUUGCGCCCCCUGGUAUUCCGGGGGGCAUGCCUGUCCGAGCGUCAUUGCUGCCCUCAAGCACGGCUUGUGUGUUGGGCCCCCGUCCCCGGUUUCCCCCGGGGACGGGCCCGAAAGGCAGCGGCGGCACCGCGUCCGGUCCUCGAGCGUAUGGGGCUUUGUCACCCGCUCUGUAGGCCCGGCCGGCGCCAGCCGACACCCAACUUUAUUUCUAAGGUUGACCUCGGAUCAGGUAGGGAUACCCGCUGAACUUAAGCAUAUCAAUAAGCGGAGGA